UACAGAGGUCACAAGCGUUAUCCGGAGUUACUGGGCGUAAAGAGUCUGUAGCUUGUUUUGUAAGUCUUGAUUCAAAAACCUGGAUUCAAUCGAGGGGAGGGUCAGGAUACUGCAUUACUAGAGAUCAUUGGGGGUUAGUGGAAUUGCCGGUGGAGGGGUGAAAUCCGUUGAUAUCGGUAGGAACGCCAAAAGCGAAAGCAGCUAACUACAAUAUUCUGACAGUAAAGGACGAAAGCUUGGGGAUCGAACGGG
Molecule: ribosomal RNA, 252 nt
Filed under: uncultured bacterium
Lineage: Bacteria
Description: partial 16S ribosomal RNA
Rfam family: Bacterial small subunit ribosomal RNA
Source: RNAcentral